UCAAACUUGGUCAUUUAGAGGAAGUAAAAGUCGUAACAAGGUUUCCGUAGGUGAACCUGCGGAAGGAUCAUUAUUGAACAAAAUUUAAAACAGGCUGCUGCUGGUUCUGCGGAGCAUGUGCACGUCUUGUUUUAUUUUUUAAAAUGUUCCACCUGUGCACUAGUGGUGGAGAUCUUUCUAGAGCAAUAAACCGUUUCGAAGAGAGAGAGGCCACAAGGCUCCUUUCGAUGGAAAGAGAUUAGCGGUCGAACACCGCCGCUUUUCUUGUUGACAAAUUGUUCUAGAGGGAUCUCCACUGUUUUCUUUGUCACACCGUAUAAAUGGAUUCAGAACGUUGAACAAAAAAUUAGACCUCGUGUCUUUUUUUGAUAAAUCACAUAUAACUUUCAACAACGGAUCUCUUGGCUCUCGCAUCGAUGAAGAACGCAGC
This 430-nucleotide unclassified non-coding RNA is filed under the name uncultured fungus. RNAcentral's name for it is "partial contains small subunit ribosomal RNA, internal transcribed spacer 1, and 5.8S ribosomal RNA". The stretch from base 1 to 73 matches the Rfam family "Eukaryotic small subunit ribosomal RNA", at positions 1759 to 1831 of the family's 1831-position model. The record is from RNAcentral. Lineage: Eukaryota; Fungi.